RNAcentral lists this transfer RNA (74 nucleotides) under Myxococcales bacterium. RNAcentral's name for it is "tRNA-Val". It matches the Rfam family "tRNA". Rfam says of the family: Transfer RNA (tRNA) molecules are approximately 80 nucleotides in length. Their secondary structure includes four short double-helical elements and three loops (D, anti-codon, and T loops). The record is from RNAcentral. RNAcentral also lists the same sequence under 1 other name. Lineage: Bacteria; Pseudomonadati; Myxococcota; Myxococcia; Myxococcales.
GGGCGCGUAACUCAGUUGGUUAGAGUGCCACCUUCACACGGUGGAAGUCGCAGGUUCGAGUCCUGCCGCGCCCA